Long non-coding RNA from Culex quinquefasciatus (southern house mosquito), 542 nucleotides. RefSeq lists it as uncharacterized. The record is from RefSeq and is a predicted model, not a curated record. The transcript is spliced from 3 exons. Lineage: Eukaryota; Metazoa; Arthropoda; Insecta; Diptera; Culicidae.
UGUGUUAUUGUUGAUUAUUUUUUCCAGUUUUCAAAUAUUUUGUACCGUUUAGUGCAAUUACGGUUCGUGGAGUUUCUGGAUAUAAUUUAAGCACCCAACGACUCCUGCCGCGGUUGCCAAAUGAUGUUCUGGACUCAUCAACGCAAGCGGCCGAUCUUGGGCUGGGACUACUUCAUGCAGGUGGACUCAAACAUACAGGACUUCAGACAUCCAAAGGUCAUGCUCGCUCAAAGGAACUCAACGAAAAAGAUUGCAGCUUUUUUAUCAACAAACAUGUUGAACAUCGCUGAAUAAGAUGUUGAGGCAAACACCGCCACCACUGCCCAGCACAAGCACAGUUCAAGUUCUUAGAAAACUUGACAGAUUUUCUAACCUGGACCCGGCAGCUCCUGAAUAAGGCAGAUUUCUUCACCUGCAUAAGAUAAUCAACAGCGCGACUUCCAGCUUGUCGAGCUUUAGGGAUCAACACCAUCAGUGCUCAUAAGUUGAUUUCUAGAUUAUGUUUACUGCCGUUCUACGCAUAAUUGUCCCAUGUCAGUUUU